GGAGGUACCCAACUGAGUAUGCAGCGUAUCUCUGUCGAGCUCAAUCAGGCUCUCACAAGCCAAAGUCAAGUAAUAGGGUCCAACUGGUCUAACAGCCAACAGGUCACGUGCCCCCAGCACAAUCUGACGCCCAAAACAGCGAUAUGGGUCCACCGUCAACCCCGACGGCACCCAACAGUCCGGAACAGUCUGAACGCUACUGUAAAAAUACACUCGACAUCCCAGCACGAGUGUAACAGCUA
This 242-nucleotide long non-coding RNA is filed under the name Ananas comosus (pineapple). RNAcentral describes it as "long non-coding RNA (ACOM_LNC025840)". The record is from RNAcentral. Lineage: Eukaryota; Viridiplantae; Streptophyta; Magnoliopsida; Poales; Bromeliaceae.